CGUCUACCUAUAUCUGUCUCCUACUCUCUUUCCCCUCCUUCCUCACGCCUCUCUCACCACGCUUCGCUCCGACAAACAGGCUCCGUCUGUCACCGUUCUCCUCAAGCAGCAAGAUGGCGGCUGAUAAGUGGCUGGCUGUGUCAGUUGUGUCUGACUGACCUUAUCCUGGACUACGAGGUCUACUUAAAGAAUGAUCCUCGCGGCAGACGUGACAGGCGACGACGCUUCGGCAGGACCCGCCCGCGCGCUCGUUCGCACCUAUCUCUCUCUCUCUCUCUCCCUCCCACUCUUUUUUUUUCCUCUCUUUCUCUUCCCCUCCCUCUCACUCACCCUCUUGUUCGAUUCGAAAAUCACCGAGAGCCCCCGCGUACCUCUCUCUUUCGUUGCAGGCCGCGAGAACGGAGGCGAUUUGCGCGGCGGUGACGGCUACACGGCCUACCUCUUCGGAGUAAUUCGGAGAAACUUUAGCGAGCGAUUCCCCGCGCGCGCGCGCAAUCGAUGACGAGUCGCGGAGACGUGACGGCGACGUUGCGCGCUACAUACGCCGCACACCUACACCUACACUUUUAUUAUUAUCAUUAUAGCUGGUCUUAUAGCAUUAGCGGCACACGGUUGCCUCACCUUUUCAGGUGCAGCCGUCUGUGAUCUUCCUGUUUUUUGUAAUCACUCUUAUAUUUAUGAUUCAAUAAAGAUUUAUUAUUAUUAUUACUAUUAUUAAUGAUAUAGAUCUGAGCUAAUUAUAAAAUUAUCGUUGCUGCCUCUCGAGGUGCAGCUCCAGUCUGUAUAAUCGCUCUUAUCGUUCAUAUAGUACAUGAAUUCCAGCAAUGUUGCGGCGAUCUUUUAGCAACAUUGGAAUGUUUCAACAAUAUUGUAGCAACAUCACAACGCUCCAACAAUAUUACAAUAGUAUUGUAACGUCCCAACAAUAUUGCAAUGUUUAACAACAUUGUACCAGCAUUGCAACGUUCCAACAAUUUUGGAGUAACAUAGCGACUGUUACUCUGUGCUAUAUAGAUAUACUUGUACCUUAAUAAAGUUAUUAUGAUUUGUUAUCUUCAUAUAAACUCUCAUGCCUACAUCUACACCCACGGUGGGAUGUGGGACGCAAACGCCAGCGAAGCACACUCCUCCUCUUCGAUGACAAAAAUAAGAACGCUGAGGUGUGGACUUUGUCAUCUCAUCGCAGUUAAUCUGCUUCGCGUGUGACUCUCACCCGACUCGUUGCCGCAACGUCACAAUCAUUCUCGCUGACAAUAUAAACAAUCAAAGAGAUCGAUACGCCUUUGCACUCUGAAAUCAAUAUAACGCGAACACUGUUAUUAGGUCGCAAAAGAGAACUUUAAAAGUUCGGAAAAUGUCAGUCUCUUCUCGAGAUUCACCUACUUCAGUUCAAAAUUUGAAUUUAAAAUUUCGAAUGCGCGAGAUACAGAAUACAGGAAUGCAGGAAAAUUACAUUCGGGAAGGCGAUAUAUCGAUACAUCGAUUUGCCGAAGCGCUGCAAUAUAAAUGAAUGUAUCCACUGGAUAUGAACACUAUGAACGAUUCACCGGGUAUUCACAAAUAUGGU
Long non-coding RNA from Acromyrmex echinatior (Panamanian leafcutter ant), 1567 nucleotides. NCBI's taxonomy places the organism in Eukaryota, Metazoa, Arthropoda, Insecta, Hymenoptera, Formicidae. The record is from RefSeq and is a predicted model, not a curated record.